GGCGGGGGAAGCUCAUCAGCGGGGCCACGCGCUGAGUGCUCGUCACUCUCUCGGCCCCUGGGAAGGUCUGAGACUGGGGCCUCCCGCGGCCCUAACCGGGCUCUCCCCGAGUGGGGAGGUGAGUUCCCAGAGAGCAGGGCUCCACGCGUGGGCAGACUGGGCAGGAGAAGCCCCCGGGUGGGCGGAUGCCUCCCUCGCCGGGGCUUGGAACAGACUCACGGCCAGCAAUUCGAGUUCAAUGGCUGAGGUGAGGCACCUCGCGGGCCUCAUAACCCAAUUCAGACUACUCUCCCCCGCC
This is a non-coding RNA of Rattus norvegicus (Norway rat), 298 nucleotides long. Ensembl annotates it as ribonuclease P RNA component H1. Its record names the gene Rpph1. Lineage: Eukaryota; Metazoa; Chordata; Mammalia; Rodentia; Muridae. The record is from Ensembl.